AGCGAACGCUGGCGGCAGGCUUAACACAUGCAAGUCGAGCGGGCAUCCUUGUGGUGUCAGCGGCAGACGGGUGAGUAACGCGUGGGAACGUGCCCUUCGGUUCGGAAUAACUCAGGGAAACUUGGGCUAAUACCGGAUACGUGCGAGAGCAGAAAGGUUUAUCUGCCGAAGGAUCGGCCCGCGUCUGAUUAGCUAGUUGGUGAGGUUAUGGCUCACCAAGGCGACGAUCAGUAGCUGGUCUGAGAGGAUGAUCAGCCACAAUGGGACUGAGACACGGCCCAGACUCCUACGGGAGGCAGCAGUGGGGAAUAUUGGACAAUGGGGGCAACCCUGAUCCAGCCAUGCCGCGUGAGUGAUGACGGCCUUAGGGUUGUAAAGCUCUUUUCUCCGGGACGAUAAUGACGGUACCGGAGGAAUAAGCCCCGGCUAACUUCGUG
This 437-nucleotide ribosomal RNA is filed under the name uncultured bacterium. RNAcentral describes it as "partial 16S ribosomal RNA". It matches the Rfam family "Bacterial small subunit ribosomal RNA", at positions 29 to 507 of the family's 1533-position model. The record is from RNAcentral.